RNAcentral lists this ribosomal RNA (393 nucleotides) under uncultured bacterium. RNAcentral describes it as "bacterial SSU rRNA". It matches the Rfam family "Bacterial small subunit ribosomal RNA", at positions 127 to 518 of the family's 1533-position model. The record is from RNAcentral.
UACCUUUAACAGGGGAAUAACCCGUUGAAAAACGGACUAAUACUCCAUGACACAGGGGUCCCGCAUGGGAAUAUUUGUUAAAGAUUUAUCGGUUGAAGAUGGGCAUGCGUUCCAUUAGCUUGUGGUGAGGUAACGGCUCACCAAGGCUACGAUGGAUAGGGGAACUGAGAGGUUUAUCCCCCACACUGGAACUGAGACACGGUCCAGACUCCUACGGGAGGCAGCAGUGAGGAAUAUUGGUCAAUGGAGGCAACUCUGAACCAGCCAAGUCGCGUGAAGGAUGAAGGUCUUAUGGAUUGUAAACUUCUUUUGCAAGGGAAUAAAGUGGGGGACGUGUCCUCCUUUGCAUGUACCUUGCGAAUAAGGAUCGGCUAACUCCGUGCCAGCCGCCGC